RNAcentral lists this ribosomal RNA (360 nucleotides) under Auxis rochei. Its description in RNAcentral is "partial 12S ribosomal RNA". It matches the Rfam family "Bacterial small subunit ribosomal RNA", at positions 1019 to 1533 of the family's 1533-position model. The record is from RNAcentral. Lineage: Eukaryota; Metazoa; Chordata; Actinopteri; Scombriformes; Scombridae.
CCCUCCCUUGUUUCUCCCGCCUAUAUACCGCCGUCGUCAGCUUACCCUGUGAAGGUCUAAUAGUAAGCAAAAUUGGCACCGCCCAGAACGUCAGGUCGAGGUGUAGCGCAUGAGAGGGGAAGAAAUGGGCUACAUUCGCUACUACUAGCGAAUACGAACGAUGCACUGAAAACGUUCAUCUGAAGGAGGAUUUAGCAGUAAGUGGAAAAUAGAGUGUUCCGCUGAAAUCGGCUCUGAAGUGCGUACACACCGCCCGUCACUCUCCCCAAGCUUAUCAUUACACAUAUAUAAAACGCUCUAACUGCGAAGGGGAGGCAAGUCGUAACAUGGUAAGUGUACCGGAAGGUGCACUUGGAAAAA